Molecule: long non-coding RNA, 775 nt
Filed under: Marmota monax (woodchuck)
Lineage: Eukaryota; Metazoa; Chordata; Mammalia; Rodentia; Sciuridae
Source: RNAcentral
GUAACCAUAAACAGAUUUAUCAGGCCACCAAAAACAUUGUUGAAUAACCUGUCUGCCAGUGCAUUUGAGAAACAAUAAGAAUUUGUUUAUGAAGAUCUCAGUCUAAUUUUUGAGCAUUUCCCGGCCUUUAUCACAGCCCUUGGUUGAUAGGCCACGACUUCCUGCUCCAUACUUCAAUGGUAACUUCCUGAUUCCUAACUGUUGUGGUUUUCCAGAACAUGGUAUCCUAAGAGUCAUCUUCAAGUCUGACUUAAGGAUGUCUCCUGAGCUAGACAGGACUAAGAGCCCAAACCAAUGGAAACUUAGAUUCAAAACUGGGAGCUACAUGAACCAAAAUCAAUAGCAAGUGGCUCUGACCAUAAAAAUCACAAACUAGAACUAAACUAGUAAAACCCAAGAAAAAGACACUGUGCUCAAUCUAGACCCAAGGCAUUAGUGGCCCCCUUAAUUCCCCAAACCCUUAAAAAUCCUCUUCACUGGCUGAUGGGGGUGUAGAUUUGAGUGUGUGCCUUGUGUUUCCUGGUCGGCCAACCUAUAAUUGAGCUCUUUCUUUUUGUGAAUACUAGUGCUGUAAUAUCAGUUCUAAUUUCAUCAUACAGUGCGUCCAUGUACAAUAUCAGAGGUAACCAAAGUUCACAUUCCAGGCAGCAGUUUGGGACAUGCAUAUGUCAUUCUGCAAAAUGUUACCCAGUGGACACUUGUGCAGGCCCAAGUAAAGGGUCAGUGGUUCAACCAGUUUUAGAAAACAGUGGCCUCCAAGUUUCUGAAAACAACU